GGUUGUGGCUCAGCGGUAGAGCGCUCACCUAGCAUGCGCGAGGCCCUGGGUUCAAAUCUCAACACCA
RNAcentral lists this transfer RNA (67 nucleotides) under Marmota monax (woodchuck). Its description in RNAcentral is "tRNA.Ala". The record is from RNAcentral. Lineage: Eukaryota; Metazoa; Chordata; Mammalia; Rodentia; Sciuridae.